CCUACGGGAGGCUGCAGUGAGGAAUAUUGGUCAAUGGCCGGGAGGCUGAACCAGCCAAGUCGCGUGAGGGAAGACGGCCCUACGGGUUGUAAACCUCUUUUGUCAGGGAGCAAGGUGCAGGUCGGGACCUGCUGUGAGAGUACCUGAAGAAAAAGCAUCGGCUAACUCCGUGCCAGCAGCCGCGGUAAUACGGAGGAUGCGAGCGUUAUCCGGUUUUAUUGGGUUUAAAGGGUGCGCAGGCGGAGGCACAAGUCAGCGGUAAAAUCGCGGGGAUCAACCCCGCGCCGCAGUUGAAACUGUGUGCCUUGAGUGCGCGAAGGGUAGGCGGAAUGCGUGGUGUAGCGGUGAAAUGCAUAGAUAUCACGCAGAACUCCGAUCGCGAAGGCAGCCUACCGGCGCGCAACUGACGCUGAUGCACGAAAGCGUGGGUAUCGAACAGGAUUAGAUACCCCAGUAGUC
RNAcentral lists this ribosomal RNA (459 nucleotides) under uncultured bacterium. RNAcentral's name for it is "partial 16S ribosomal RNA". It matches the Rfam family "Bacterial small subunit ribosomal RNA", at positions 338 to 795 of the family's 1533-position model. The record is from RNAcentral.